This 496-nucleotide ribosomal RNA is filed under the name uncultured bacterium. Its description in RNAcentral is "partial 16S ribosomal RNA". It matches the Rfam family "Bacterial small subunit ribosomal RNA", at positions 28 to 506 of the family's 1533-position model. The record is from RNAcentral.
GAUGAACGCUGGCGGCGUGCCUAAUACAUGCAAGUCGAGCGAACGGACGAGAAGCUUGCUUCUCUGAUGUUAGCGGCGGACGGGUGAGUAACACGUGGAUAACCUACCUAUAAGACUGGGAUAACUUCGGGAAACCGGAGCUAAUACCGGAUGAUAUUUUGAACCGCAUGGUUCAAAAGUGAAAGACGGUCUUGCUGUCACUUAUAGAUGGAUCCGCGCUGCAUUAGCUAGUUGGUAAGGUAACGGCUUACCAAGGCAACGAUGCAUAGCCGACCUGAGAGGGUGAUCGGCCACACUGGAACUGAGACACGGUCCAGACUCCUACGGGAGGCAGCAGUAGGGAAUCUUCCGCAAUGGGCGAAAGCCUGACCGAGCAACGCCGCGUGAGUGAUGAAGGUCUUCGGAUCGUAAAACUCUGUUAUUAGGGAAGAACAUAUGUGUAAGUAACUGUGCACAUCUUGACGGUACCUAAUCAGAAAGCCACGGCUAACUACGU